ACACUUAUCUGACAGGAAUAUAAUGAUCAUGAAGGUGGUUUUCCAGGGUUAAGCAUAUUCAUUGUGGUCUGGAUGUGCUGACCCCUGCAAUUUCCCCAAAUGAGGGACAUUUGACUUCACAAUUUAUGGCAAUGGAAGACUCUGUUCAAGUUCUCUAU
Small nuclear RNA from Grammomys surdaster, 158 nucleotides. RefSeq annotates it as U1 spliceosomal RNA. Lineage: Eukaryota; Metazoa; Chordata; Mammalia; Rodentia; Muridae. The transcript has a single exon. The record is from RefSeq and is a predicted model, not a curated record.